GCCUUUGUAGCUCAAUGGUAGAGUAAGCGCCCUUUAAGCGUUGUGAUAAAGGUUCGAAUCCUUCUAAAGGCA
This 72-nucleotide transfer RNA is filed under the name Streptomyces tamarix. RNAcentral describes it as "tRNA-Lys". It matches the Rfam family "tRNA". From Rfam's summary of the family: Transfer RNA (tRNA) molecules are approximately 80 nucleotides in length. Their secondary structure includes four short double-helical elements and three loops (D, anti-codon, and T loops). The record is from RNAcentral. Lineage: Bacteria; Bacillati; Actinomycetota; Actinomycetes; Kitasatosporales; Streptomycetaceae.